GAUGAACGCUGGCGGCGUGCUUAACACAUGCAAGUCGAACGGGAUCCAAGGGGUGCUUGCACUUUUUGGUGAGAGUGGCGAACGGGUGAGUAACACGUGAGUAACCUGUCCUUUUCUUUGGGAUAAGCAUUCGAAAGGGGGUUUAAUACCUUAUGUUCUGUCUGCCUCUCAUGCGGUGGUUGAGAAAGGCUUUGGUCGCACUUGGGUGGGCUCGCGGUCUAUCAGCUUGUUGGUGGGGUGAUGGCUUAUCAAGGCUUGGAAGUGUAGACGGCCUGAGAGGGUGGUGGGUCAGAGUGAGAGUGAGAACUGGCACAGAGUGCAGCGGGAGGGAGCAGUGGGGGAUAUUGGAAAAUGGGCGAAAGCAAGAUGCAGCGAGGCAGCGUGGGGGAUGGAGGGCUUAGGGUUGUAAACUUGUUUUGCUCUGAGCGAGGGAUGCCAGUGAGUGUGUUGAGUGUAGGGGUUGGUUAGCGCCGGCUAACUACGUG
Molecule: ribosomal RNA, 485 nt
Filed under: uncultured bacterium
Lineage: Bacteria
Description: partial 16S ribosomal RNA
Rfam family: Bacterial small subunit ribosomal RNA
Source: RNAcentral